RNAcentral lists this ribosomal RNA (433 nucleotides) under uncultured bacterium. Its description in RNAcentral is "partial 16S ribosomal RNA". It matches the Rfam family "Bacterial small subunit ribosomal RNA", at positions 29 to 507 of the family's 1533-position model. The record is from RNAcentral.
AACGAACGCUGGCGGCAUGCCUAACACAUGCAAGUCGAACGAGACCUUCGGGUCUAGUGGCGCACGGGUGCGUAACGCGUGGGGACCUGCCCUUAGGUUCGGAAUAACUCCCCGAAAGGGGUGCUAAUACCGGAUAAUGUCUUCGGACCAAAGAUUUAUCGCCUUUGGAUGGGCCCGCGUUGGAUUAGCUAGUUGGUAGGGUAAAAGCCUACCAAGGCGACGAUCCAUAGCUGGUCUGAGAGGAUGAUCAGCCACACUGGGACUGAGACACGGCCCAGACUCCUACGGGAGGCAGCAGUGGGGAAUAUUGGACAAUGGGCGAAAGCCUGAUCCAGCAAUGCCGCGUGAGUGAUGAAGGCCUUAGGGUUGUAAAGCCCUUUUACCCGGGAUGAUAAUGACAGUACCGGGAGAAUAAGCUCCGGCUAACUCCGUG